AGGGACUCUAGUAUCCAGAGUACCCAGGGGCCUCUCUGCCAGGGGACAUGGGAAGGGAGGCAUGGGGCGUGAUCACAACAUGAGGUGACUGUUUAUGUAAAACUGUAUGACAGUGAAAGACACACUGCCACGAAUCCCCUCCAGAUCUGCUCCUCCCUUCACACACACUCAUCCCAUCGUCCUCUGCAGCAGCUCUGGAGUCCUCCUUCCUGAGGGUCUUUACCAGCUGUGAUCAAAAUACAGUGUCUGCUGCUGCCGAGCGCCAUCCAGCAGAAAGGCAGCUCAUAAACACACAAUGCUGCAUCCUCAUCCGCCUUAGUCACCGGAUCUGGCACCGUGUGACUCCUGGCUCUUCCCCAAAGUCACAAUGACCAUGACAGGACUCGUUAUGAAUCCAUUCAGGACACUGAGGCAGCCAGGACAGUGCAGCUAAAGACCAUGAAAUCCCUACCUCACGCCAUACACCCAAGCCAUAUGGAACUGCAGUGGUCACUACUUUCGGUCUCCAGUUUCUUACAAGGUGACCCCUCUGCCUGACCAACAGCCACCCCCUUUAACCUCAAAGAGAGUUUUGUGUUGUUUCUUCUUUUGUUUUGUUUGUUUGCUUGUUUGUUUUUUUGACACAAGGUCUCACUAUAUAGUUUAGGCUGGUUUUGAACUCACUAUGUAGCCCAGGCUGGCCUCAAACUCACAGCAAUCCUCCUGCCUCACCCUCCUGAGUGCUGAGAUUACAAGUGUGCACCACCAUGCCUGGCUAAUUAUUUUGUUGUUGUUUGGUUGGUUUUUUUCCUCUUCUUUGAAGCGUCCUCUGAUCAUUCAUUUCUUCAUCAAAUGUUUGCUGGAUUCCACAAUGUUUGGCACUUUCCAAGUGCCGGAAACCAUGACUCAGACACGGGUUAAUCCUGCUGCCUUUCUGCUCUUUAUUUGUGUUCCUGCAUGUUAUGUAGAGAGGCAGUGACUUAAGCCAAAGUGACAUAACAGCUCAGAGGGAGUGAGGUCCAUGGGGUGAGUUAGGGACAACCUUUGAAAUCACACCUUCCUGAUUGGAAAAAAAUACCAGAAAAUGCCACCCACCCACUGUCACUAAGCAGUUGUUGACAGCUAUUUAUUGUUUAUCUCAAGGGGCUGGGAUCUCAAGGCUUGCACCCCCACCUGCUCUGUCUCCUGUUUGUUAUGAUUUCUCCAUUGCCAGCAGCCACUGUCCUACGGCCAGGAAACGAAUAUUUCGCACUUUGCUGGAAGGGACAAAAGAAUUUAGGGCCCAAAAUAGAAGUCAGAUUGUUACAUUGUCCUGAAUAAGAGUGUGUGAGUGGUUGCCAGGGAUCCAAAAACGAUGAGAAUGGAUAUUGUGUUUUGCUGCUGGACAGUAAAAAUAUUAUUUUUGGACGGUGUGCUGUGGCUACUCCCUGACUGCACACCAGGAAGUAAAAUGCUGGGGUAAUGUGCACGUAGCGUUGAGAGGCAGAGGGGUCAGAAGACCAUCAGGCGGUGGUGCUGGCUGCUCUGCGUGGAGGCCGAUCUGGGCGCCUGGGAACCGUGGGCCGAGCCCUGUCCACAGAGCCCACACCCAGUCCCCGUGACCAGGUUCCAGGCCCCCGCUGCUCCUGGUGGCUGCUCCCUAGGGCGGCCGGGAUGUCCUCCAACGUGGCCCCCAGGCAGCGGUCUGGGCAGGCAGGGCCAGCAGGGGACUUGAGGACGACGGUGGACAUGAGCUGCCACCGAAGGCCACACCCACAAGAGGACAGAGAAGCCGGCAGUGACACCCACAGCGGGGAGGCAGCCAGCGUCUGCGGAGGCCUUUCCCGUCCUCAGCCCCAGGGCCUGACGCCCGGAGACAUCGUAAAAGCGAUCCCUCAGCAACCCCCGGAACUUGCUGUGCACCAGGUGGCCAUCCAGUGGUUACCAUCAAAUCUCGCUUAAUCUUCCCUGCAGCUCCACGGGGCAGGGUCUUGCUGAAUUGCCAAGUUGCCAGGCUCAAUCCUCCUGCCUCAGCCUCCCAGCGUGCUAGGAUAAGAGGUGUGUGUCACCACGCCCGAGCCCCAAUUGCUCCUGAACCCCUAUUCGCACCAACAGAGAAGGAAGCUGUGUUUUCCAGAGGGAGCCAGGCCAUAAUUCUACACCACCAAACUCCGACAAAAGUCCCUGAGUCUGAGGCCUGCUCCGGGAAAAUCAGCAUGUACCUGUGGAAGCUGCUCUGCUGGUCAUCUCUGCUUCCUUCCAGGGCAAUGAUGAGGUCUGGAGGUGAGAGAUUCCUGCUUCGGACCCUCAGAUGAGUCUACACAGUGGGCUCCUCGGGCUCAGCUCAGAGACUCUCGAGCACUAGGCAUGGGAGCCCGGCCGUGAGCAACGAAGUCUAAGCGGACAUGGGACACUUCAGGGCGGGGACAUCAAGGUGGAGACUGAGGACCAGGACAAGCCAAGGUUAUGCAGGAUAAGGAGGCGGAAACAGGAGUAAGUUCCUGAACCAGGCAUGGUGCCAUGUAGCUGUCCCAGCACUCCAGGAGGCUGAGGCAGGAGGGUCCCAAGCUUGAGCCUAGUUUACGGAACAUAGCAAGAUCCUGUCUCAAAAUAGGACAGAAAAACGGGCUGGGGAAGUAACUCCGUUGGACAGCCAGAAUUCCUUCUCUGGGCUCCAUCUCCCCAGGGAAUGCUGUCAUCAGACCACUCACCUCUCACCUACGCUGGACAGGCUGACUUCAGACGGAUUGGUGACACAGCACUGUUUCAAGCCAGCAGACUUUAAAUACAGGCGCGCUGUGCAUUAAACAGGAAGUUCCAAUGCUGUGCAUAGGGAGGGCAGGAAAAAUGGCCAGGGUGCUUCUCUGCUUCUCUUUACAGAAUCUCAGGGAAGCUGGCUUAAACUGGUGUUAGGGUUUGGAUCUAAACAGUCCCACCAAAUUUUCAGCUUUGCAGGUGGGGCCUGGUGAAAGAGGUGGCCUGGGGCGGGGCCUGGAAGAGUUUAUCUCCCUCCUGGCUCCACCCUCUCUCUCCACUUCCUAUCCACCGUGAUGAGCAGCUCUCCUCCGCCAGGCCCCUCUGCCAGGCCAGCUGGCCUUGAAGCAGCCAACUGUGGACUGAAGCAUAAGCCAAAAUAAAC
Non-coding RNA from Heterocephalus glaber (naked mole-rat), 3097 nucleotides. Lineage: Eukaryota; Metazoa; Chordata; Mammalia; Rodentia; Bathyergidae. The record is from RefSeq and is a predicted model, not a curated record.